CUACGUGCCAGCAGCCGCGGUAAUACGUAGGGUGCGAGCGUUAAUCGGAAUUACUGGGCGUAAAGCGGGCGCAGACGGUUACUUAAGCAGGAUGUGAAAUCCCCGGGCUCAACCUGGGAACUGCGUUCUGAACUGGGUGACUAGAGUGUGUCAGAGGGAGGUAGAAUUCCACGUGUAGCAGUGAAAUGCGUAGAGAUGUGGAGGAAUACCGAUGGCGAAGGCAGCCUCCUGGGAUAACACUGACGUUCAUGCUCGAAAGCGUGGGUAGCAAACAGGAUUAGAUACCCUGGUAGUGCACGCCCUAAACGAUGUCAAUUAGCUGUUGGGCAACUUGAUUGCUUAGUAGCGUAGCUAACGCGUGAAAUUGACCGCCUGGGGAGUACGGUCGCAAGAUUAAAACUCAAAGGAAUUGACGGGGACCCGCACAAGCGGUGGAUGAUGUGGAUUAAUUCGAUGCAACGCGAAGAACCUUACCUGGUCUUGACAU
Molecule: ribosomal RNA, 487 nt
Filed under: uncultured bacterium
Lineage: Bacteria
Description: bacterial SSU rRNA
Rfam family: Bacterial small subunit ribosomal RNA
Source: RNAcentral